This 896-nucleotide long non-coding RNA is filed under the name Manduca sexta (tobacco hornworm). RNAcentral's name for it is "uncharacterized LOC115440387". The record is from RNAcentral. Lineage: Eukaryota; Metazoa; Arthropoda; Insecta; Lepidoptera; Sphingidae.
CUCUGGAGGCUUUGCUUGGUUUGACAGGUGAUUGCCAACAUUGCCACUUAAAAAUUAAAUAAAAUUGAGGAAGUAGGAUUUCCUGCACUGGUCACAUUCGAUAGGGUCAGUGGUCGUUUUGAUGUCUUUUAGUGGAUUGUCUGAGGGACAUCUCUACGUCGAUCUAUGGACUUUCCCAUCCCUACGAUGAUGAUGGACGGCUGUCAUAGACACAGGAAGUCACUUUCUUUGACGGUUCUUGAAGGAUAACAUCAUGGAUUAAAUAAUCCAAUUUAAUCUUUCACAAUUAUGGGCAGUAUGCCCUAAUAUUUUGUUAAAAUGUAAAAUAAACAUUCAAAAGUAAUAAUUUAUCUUGGGAUUUUUCCCUUUUAACCUUACGAUGGGCGUCUUAUUGAUGUUCCCUAGUAUUUAUCUAAAUUUGCCUUAAAAAACGGUGAGUUAUUAUACCUUUUUUACGUGGUGUUGUGCCUCCUAGAUAAGGUUCUAAUUAGAUUUUGUUUGUUUUAGCUCUCCGCGUUUUUUUUUUUACAAUGGAUUAGUUUUUUUUUACAAUGGAUUAGUUUUUUUUUUACAAUGGAUUAGUUUUUUUUACUAUGGAUUAAUUUUUUACAUGGAACGAUUUCAUAUUGUAUCCAGUUUAACCUACAUUUGCUGCAAUUUUCUGCACCAUGACCUCUCAGCGGGGACCUGCUUUAUGGGACCAGCGGUGAAGUGUUCUGUGGUCUUCAUUAAUUAUAUUUAACUAACUUUAGUUAUUUCAUUACUCUGGUAUGUAUUUCUAACUUAAUUCCAGUGAUGAUGCAAUAAUGACCAAAGGUAUUUUUAUGUUCUAAAAUAAUUAUUUCCAAAUUUGAGAACUCCUCGGAAAAUAUAAAGAACAACUUUAGCUUACUGGC